This 245-nucleotide long non-coding RNA is filed under the name Capsella rubella. RNAcentral describes it as "long non-coding RNA (CRUB_LNC004208)". Lineage: Eukaryota; Viridiplantae; Streptophyta; Magnoliopsida; Brassicales; Brassicaceae. The record is from RNAcentral.
UUACUUACCCAAGAGAUUGGUUGUUAAGGAGUAGAUUGACAUUAAUGAGCUUGUUCUUUAUGCCUAUUUAUAGUAUGUUUCAUCAAUGAAAGUUGAGAUUAGGAAGUACUAUAGAUUUGAUAAUCUUUGCCAAGAGAUUGGACUGAUUAGGUUAAGUGGUUCAUUGUCUAGGAUUAGAUCUACCUGAGCAUGUUAAGCAUCCCAAAAGAGAUUAAGAGGAUUCAUCAUCCCAUUAGCCCAUCCUU